UUAAUACCGGAUAUGACCUCUCGUCUCCAUGGACCGGGGGUGGAAAGUUUUUCGGGCCAGGGUGGGGCUCGCGGCCUAUCAGCUUGUUGGAGGGGUAACGGGCCCACCAAGGCGACGACGGGUAGCCGGCCUUGAGAGGGCGACCGGCCACACUGGGACUGAGACACGGCCCAGACUCCUACGGGAGGCAGCAGUGGGGAAUAUUGCGCAAUGGGCGGAAGCCUGACGCAGCGACGCCGCGUGGGGGAUGAAGGCCUUCGGGUUGUAAACCUCUUUCACCAGGGACGAAGCGUAACCUGACGGUACCUGCAGAAGAAGCGCCGGCUAAACUACGUGCCAGCAGCCGCGGUAAUACGUAGGGCGCAAGCGUUGUCCGGAUUUAUUGGGCGUAAAGAGCUCGUAGGCGGCCUGUCGCGUCUGCUGUGAAAUCCCGGGGCUUAACCCCUGGGCGUGCAGUGGAUACGGGCUGGCUGGAGGCAGGCAGGGGAGAAUGGAAUUCCCGGUGUAGCGGUGAAAUGCGCAGAUAUCGGGAGGAACACCGGUGGCGAAGGCGGUUCUCUGGGCCUGUUCUGACGCUGAGGAGCGAAAGCGUGGGGAGCGAACA
This 604-nucleotide ribosomal RNA is filed under the name uncultured bacterium. RNAcentral describes it as "bacterial SSU rRNA". It matches the Rfam family "Bacterial small subunit ribosomal RNA", at positions 163 to 774 of the family's 1533-position model. The record is from RNAcentral.